CCUACGGGAGGCAGCAGUGAGGAAUAUUGGUCAAUGGGCGAGAGCCUGAACCAGCCAAGUAGCGUGAAGGAUGAAGGAUCUAUGGUUUGUAAACUUCUUUUAUAAGGGAAUAAAGUGAGGAACGUGUUCCUUUUUGUAUGUACCAUAUGAAUAAGCAUCGGCUAACUCCGUGCCAGCAGCCGCGGUAAUACGGAGGAUGCGAGCGUUAUCCGGAUUUAUUGGGUUUAAAGGGUGCGUAGGUGGGUAAGUAAGUCAGCUGUGAAAGUUUGUGGCUCAACCAUAAAAUUGCAGUUGAUACUGGCUGACUUGAGUACAUGUGAGGUAGGCGGAAUGCGUGGUGUAGCGGUGAAAUGCUUAGAUAUCACGAAGAACUCCGAUUGCGAAGGCAGCUUACUAAACUAUCACUGACAUUGAAGCUCGAAAGUGUGGGUAUCAAACAGGAUUAGAUACCCUUGUAGUC
RNAcentral lists this ribosomal RNA (460 nucleotides) under uncultured bacterium. RNAcentral describes it as "partial 16S ribosomal RNA". It matches the Rfam family "Bacterial small subunit ribosomal RNA", at positions 338 to 795 of the family's 1533-position model. The record is from RNAcentral.